GCGGACGGGUGAGUAACACGUAAAGAACCUGCCCUCAGGUCUGGGAUAACCACGAGAAAUCGGGGCUAAUACCGGAUGGGUCAUCGGACCGCAUGGUCCGAGGAUGAAAGGCGCUUCGGCGUCGCCUGGGGAUGGCUUUGCGGUGCAUUAGCUAGUUGGUGGGGUAAUGGCCCACCAAGGCGACGAUGCAUAGCCGACCUGAGAGGGUGAUCGGCCACACUGGGACUGAGACACGGCCCAGACUCCUACGGGAGGCAGCAGUAGGGAAUCUUCCACAAUGGACGAAAGUCUGAUGGAGCAACGCCGCGUGAACGAUGAAGGCCUUCGGGUCGUAAAGUUCUGUUGUAAGGGAAGAACAAGUGCCGCAGGCAAUGGCGGCACCUUGACGGUACCUUGCGAGAAAGCCACGGCUAACUACGUGCCAGCAGCCGCGGUAAUACGUAGGUGGCAAGCGUUGUCCGGAAUUAUUGGGCGUAAAGCGCGCGCAGGCGGCCUCUUAAGUCUGAUGUGAAAGCCCCCGGCUCAACCGGGGAGGGCCAUUGNAAACUGGGAGGCUUGAGUAUAGGAGAGAAGAGUGGAAUUCCACGUGUAGCGGUGAAAUGCGUAGAGAUGUGGAGGAACACCAGUGNCGAANGCGACUCUUUGGCCUAUAACUGACGCUGANGCGCGAAAGCGUGNGGAGCAAACAGGAUUAGAUACCCUGGNAGUCCACGCCGUANCGAUGANUGCUAGGUG
This 735-nucleotide ribosomal RNA is filed under the name Exiguobacterium sp. MR04-06. Its description in RNAcentral is "bacterial SSU rRNA". It matches the Rfam family "Bacterial small subunit ribosomal RNA", at positions 98 to 822 of the family's 1533-position model. The record is from RNAcentral. Lineage: Bacteria; Bacillati; Bacillota; Bacilli; Caryophanales.